Molecule: long non-coding RNA, 388 nt
Organism: Branchiostoma belcheri (Belcher's lancelet)
Lineage: Eukaryota; Metazoa; Chordata; Leptocardii; Amphioxiformes; Branchiostomatidae
Exons: 2
Source: RefSeq, a predicted model, not a curated record
UUACGAAUUUCAUUGAUUUGGAGGGCGACUGCCAACGGAUUACGAAGACUAAAAUGGUCCGAUUACGCCUCAGGAAAAAGGGCAUGCAGGCUUCUACAACGAGCAUUCCAGCUCUCAGAUGUGUCUUUGGCAUUUGGAUACCACAAAGCAAUCAACCUAUGCCACCAUUCACUCAAUACCAGCCUGUGCCACCGUGCACUCAAUACCAGCCUGUGCCACCGUGCACUCAAUACCAGCCUGUGCCACCGUGCACUCAAUACUAAUGUGCCAUUGUGCAGAACUUGCAGAUUGUAUACUGGAUGAGUCCAUGUCUCACGAGUGAAUUAUUAAAACCAGAAACUGUAUCUUGCCCUGAAACCAAAUAUUCAAUAAACAAUCUGAACACAUA